Acanthosepion pharaonis is the source of this 109-nucleotide non-coding RNA. Lineage: Eukaryota; Metazoa; Mollusca; Cephalopoda; Sepiida; Sepiidae. The record is from the annotation of a GenBank genome assembly.
UUACGGUCAAAUCACGCUGAAACACCGGUUCUCGUUCGAUCACCGAAGUUAAGCAUCGUAGAGCCAGGUCAGUACUUAGAUGGGGGACCGCUUGGGAACACCUGGUACU